UACGUAGGGGGCAAGCGUUGUCCGGAAUCAUUGGGCGUAAAGAGCGUGUAGGCGGCCCGAUUAGUCCGCUGUGAAAGUCCAGGGCUCAACCCUGGAAUGCCGGUGGAUACUGUCGGGCUAGAGUCCGGAAGGGGCGAGUGGAAUUCCUGGUGUAGCGGUGAAAUGCGCAGAUAUCAGGAGGAACACCAAUGGCGAAGGCAGCUCGCUGGGACGUGAACUGACGCCUGGAGACGCGAAAGCGUGGGGAGCAAACAGG
This 256-nucleotide ribosomal RNA is filed under the name uncultured bacterium. RNAcentral's name for it is "partial 16S ribosomal RNA". It matches the Rfam family "Bacterial small subunit ribosomal RNA", at positions 524 to 776 of the family's 1533-position model. The record is from RNAcentral.